CAGUAGCCGCGGUAAUACGUAGGGGGCAAGCGUUAUCCGGAGUUACUGGGUGUGAAGGGAGCGUAGACGGUUAAACAAGUUUGAAGUGAAAUGCCGGGGCUCAACCCCGGAGCUGCUUUGGGAACUGUAGAACUGGAGUGUCGGAGGGGUAAGCGGAAUUCCCAGUGUAGCGGUGAAAUGCGUAGAUAUUGGGAGGAACACCGGCGGCGAAGGCGGCUUUUUGGCCUGUAACUGACACUGAGGCGCGAAAGCGUGGGGAGCAAACAGGAUUAGAUACCCGCGUAGUCCCUGUCUCUUAUAC
Molecule: ribosomal RNA, 301 nt
Filed under: uncultured bacterium
Lineage: Bacteria
Description: partial 16S ribosomal RNA
Rfam family: Bacterial small subunit ribosomal RNA
Source: RNAcentral